GCUCGGUUGGCAGCGCGUCUGCCUUGUAAGCGCUAGGUCGCGGGUUCAAUUCCCGCACAGGGCG
RNAcentral lists this transfer RNA (64 nucleotides) under Diaphorina citri (Asian citrus psyllid). It matches the Rfam family "tRNA". From Rfam's summary of the family: Transfer RNA (tRNA) molecules are approximately 80 nucleotides in length. Their secondary structure includes four short double-helical elements and three loops (D, anti-codon, and T loops). The record is from Rfam by way of RNAcentral. Lineage: Eukaryota; Metazoa; Arthropoda; Insecta; Hemiptera; Psyllidae.